RNAcentral lists this long non-coding RNA (878 nucleotides) under Polistes fuscatus (common paper wasp). Its description in RNAcentral is "uncharacterized LOC122520714". The record is from RNAcentral. Lineage: Eukaryota; Metazoa; Arthropoda; Insecta; Hymenoptera; Vespidae.
GAGCUCGCUAAUAAAUUUCAGUUUAAACUUUCCGGCUUGCAAGCUCGCAAGCUCUCGCUAAGGCGCCGGUUGGAUCGUUCAAUUAGGAGGUGGAUCGGAUCGUCGAUGCAGCAAAAGCUAUGAACCGAUGCGAAGCGACGACGAGGGACCAAUGCCAAGAAAACCGAUGCAAGGAGAAAUGAAGAUCGUGCGAUUACGACGACGUGGGGGGUGGGGGGAGGAGUAGGGGGAAAGGGGGGCAAGGGGUACCUAUCGAAGUAGAAGAGAACAAAAUAUUUCAACUACCUGGAAACUUCUCAAGACGAGCUCGUAAAUGUGUGUGUAUAUACAUAUACACUUCUGUAAUAUUAACUUUUAUUCCCUGUAUUUGUUUAAUAUUUAAUAAUAGAAAAAAAGAAAGAAAAAAAGAGGUACGUUUCGGGAAAAAUUAACGAAUCGGUUUUACUUUCUUUCUUUUUUGUUUGUUAAUUUUUAAUCUCUCUUUUGAUCUCUCUCUAUCGUCGUUUUUCUUUUUUUAUUAAAAACUUAUUUUCCUUCACGCAAAUUAGCAGUAGAGAGAGAGAGAGAUCUUUCUGAGAAGAAGUUUUAAGAGGAAUCGUUUCUCCAUAUCUUAGAAGAUGAUUACGACGUAAUAGCCGAUCUUACCGUCGUUUAUCACUCGCUUAAAUGAAAUUCAAUUAAGCUAACACAAAUAUAUGUGUGUAUGUAUGUGUGUGUGUGUGUGUAUUUCAAUGUGCAAGCACGUACGUACGUAUAAACGAACGAACGUAUACGACGAAUAGCAAUUCUACAAGAGUUAUCUCGCAAAUAAGGAGGUAAUUAAAAACGAAGUUACGUAGUGAGAGUUACUUGUUGCGGAUUUCGAAAGAUAACGAUGA